Molecule: ribosomal RNA, 1380 nt
Filed under: Heterochaerus blumi
Lineage: Eukaryota; Metazoa; Xenacoelomorpha; Acoela; Convolutidae
Description: SSU rRNA
Rfam family: Eukaryotic small subunit ribosomal RNA
Source: RNAcentral
AGAGGGACCCUGAGAAAUGGGCUACCACAUCCAAGGAAGGCACCCAGGCCUGAAAUUACCCACUUCUGGCGCGGAGAGGUAGUGACUAGUAAUAACAGGAUUAGACUUUCGAGUCGAACCCUGGACUGGCGAGGAGGUAUAAAUACCUCGGUAAUUCAAGUUCAGGGCAAGUCUGGUGCCAGCCGCCGCGGUAACACCAGCCUGAACAAGCGUAUGCUUUAGUUGCUGCGUUUAAAAAGCUCAUAGUUGGAUCUACGGCAGCGUCACCAACACUAGGUUUGAUCUUAUUGAUCAAUACCGGGUGGCGGUUUGUCAUUCGGCCUUACUAGGCGGUUUGCACUUAACUGUGUAUAACUGAUCUAAUGAAGGACCAAACCUUGAGAAAAUUAGAGUGCUCAAGGCGAGUUUUGGCAUUGAAUUUUAAAGCAUGGAAUAAUGGAGUAGGACCAGUUGGUCGUGAACCAGCAGGUAAUGAUUAAAAGGAACAGGCGGGGGCAUUUGUAUUGCUGGGGGAGGGGUGAAAUCCGUAGAUCCCAGCAAGACAUCCUACUGCGAAAGCAUUUGCCAAGAAUGUUUUCAUUAAUCAAGAACGAAAGUUAGAGUAUUGAAGAGGAUUAGAUACCCUCGUAAUUCUAACCUUAAACAAUACCGUCUUACGCUUAGCCAAUGUAUUUAUACUUGGCUAGGAGUACACCGGGAAACCAAAGAUAUUUGGUUCCGGGGGGAGUAUGGUUGCAAAAUCGAAACUUAAAGGAAUUGACGGAGGGGCACCACCAGGAGUGGAGCCUGCGGCUUAAUUUGACUCAACACGGGGAAACCCACCAGGUCCAGACAUCUUAAGGAUUGACAGAUAGAAUCUCUUUCACGAUUAAAUGGGCGGUGGUGCAUGGCCGUUCUUAGUUAGUGGAGUGAUCUGUCUGGUUAAUUCCGAUAACUAACGAGAUCUCACCCAUCUAACUAGUAGAUGUCACUUUAUGUGGCAUUAAGACUUCUUAGAGGGACUAAGCACAAUUAAAUAGUGCUAGUGAAGUGAGGUUAUAACAGGUCUGUGAUGCCCUUAGAUGUUCUGGACCGCACGCGCGCUACAAUGAUAGCUUUAAUGGGUUAAUUAACCUAAGCCGAUGAGGUUUGGGGAAAUCGUUUAAAGUAUGUGGUAUUCAUAGUGGGGAUCAACUAUUGUAACUAGUAGUUGUGAACUAGGAAUUCCUGGUACUUAGAUUUCACCAAAAUCUAGGGAUUACGUCCCUGCCCUUUGUACACACCGCCCGUCGCUACUACUGAUUGGACGGUUAAGCUAGAUGCUGGGAGACUUUCUUUUGUGACUUCGGUCGCAACUGAAGGGCAAACAGUUUCAAGCUGAACUGGCUAGAGGAAGUAAAA